Molecule: long non-coding RNA, 565 nt
Organism: Mesocricetus auratus (golden hamster)
Lineage: Eukaryota; Metazoa; Chordata; Mammalia; Rodentia; Cricetidae
Exons: 3
Source: RefSeq, a predicted model, not a curated record
GAUUCCCAACAGUAUCUUUCGCUUUAGCUAGAAACGAGUCCCCUGUUGCUUCUGAUAACUCCAAAAGAGUCUGGAAGGCUGAGAGUUCCUAACUGAGCUCGUGCUGUUACGUAUAAUGGAGUUCUUUUCAUAAGGAUUCCAGGGUACACUAAAAAAAAGCUGAGACAUCAAGCCUCAUGGACUUAGCAACUCCUGGUUUCUUGGACUCUCCCUUCAUAGCCAGCCAUUGUCGGAUUAAUUGAACCAAAGCCUAAGCAUUUAUUGGAACGUGCUGGAGACAGACACAUGCCUUUGCUGACUGUCACCUACUGAGAACAGUUGUUUGGCUUGAAUAAGGGGAAGAGACUGCUCUUCCACAUUUCUCAAGAUUCUGCACAGCAACCCCUUGACAGAGCUACAGGAGGAAGAAGGAAGCAGGAAGCUGGCAAUAAAAGCAGAUGUGCACACUCUUCUGCCAGCUGUGAGAGGAAAACACAGCCCCUCCUAUGUUUAUCUUGAACAGGUUCUUGUUUUGGGUUUUGGUUUUAUGCAGUACAAGAUAUAUCUUAAAUAGUACUUCCCGGGA